UGGGUUGGGGCUCAGUGGUAGAGCACUUACCUAGAAUGUCUGAGGCACUGGGUUCAAUCCUCAGCACCACAU
Molecule: transfer RNA, 72 nt
Filed under: Marmota marmota marmota (Alpine marmot)
Lineage: Eukaryota; Metazoa; Chordata; Mammalia; Rodentia; Sciuridae
Also listed under: 2 other names
Rfam family: tRNA
About the family: Transfer RNA (tRNA) molecules are approximately 80 nucleotides in length. Their secondary structure includes four short double-helical elements and three loops (D, anti-codon, and T loops).
Source: Rfam by way of RNAcentral